AAGAGUGCGUAAUAGCUCACUAGUCGAGUGGCCCUGCGCCGAAAAUGUACCGGGGCUAAACAAGAUACCGAAGCCACGGAUAGAACCAAUGGUUCUAUGGUAGGAGAGCGUUCUAAGGGCGUUGAAGCAAGAUCGUGAGGACUUGUGGAGCGCUUAGAAGUGAGAAUGCCGGUAUGAGUAGCGAAAGACGGGUGAGAAUCCCGUCCACCGAAUGACUAAGGUUUCCUGGGGAAGGCUCGUCCGCCCAGGGUUAGUCGGGACCUAAGCUGAGGCCGAUAGGCGUAAGCGAUGGACAACAGGUUGAUAUUCCUGUACCAGUCUACUUUGUUUGAACAAUGGAGGGACGCAGGAGGCUAAGAUGUGCACGCUGAUGGAAUAGCGUGUCCAAGCAACAAGUCUUGAGAGGAGUCAAAUGCUUCUCUCAGCACGGACAAGUUGUGAUGGGGAGGGAAAUUUAGUACCGAAGUAUCUGAUGUCACACUGCCGAGAAAAGCUUCUAGUUAGAAGUAGGCUGCCCGUACCGCAAACCGACACAGGUAGUCGAGGAGAGAAUCCUAAGGUGAUCGAGAGAACUCUCGUUAAGGAACUCGGCAAAAUGACCCCGUAACUUCGGGAGAAGGGGUGCUGACCAAUUGGUCAGCCGCAGUGAAUAGGCCCAAGCAACUGUUUACCAAAAACACAGGUCUCUGCUAAUUCGUAAGAAGAUGUAUAGGGGCUGACACCUGCCCGGUGCUGGAAGGUUAAGAGGAAGAGUUAGCUUCGGCGAAGCUCUGAAUUGAAGCCCCAGUAAACGGCGGCCGUAACUAUAACGGUCCUAAGGUAGCGAAAUUCCUUGUCGGGUAAGUUCCGACCCGCACGAAAGGUGUAAUGAUUUGGGCACUGUCUCAACGAGAGACUCGGUGAAAUUAUAGUACCUGUGAAAAUGCAGGUUACCCGCGACAGGACGGAAAGACCCCAUGGAGCUUUACUGUAGUUUGAUAUUGAGUGUCUGUACAGCUUGUACAGGAUAGGUAGGAGCCACUGAAGCCAGGACGCCAGUCUUGGUGGAGGCGCUGGUGGGAUACUACCCUCGCUGUAUGGCCACUCUAACCCACGACCGUUAACCGGUCGGGAGACAGUGUCAGAUAGGCAGUUUGACUGGGGCGGUCGCCUCCCAAAAUGUAACGGAGGCGCCCAAAGGUUCCCUCAGAAUGGUUGGAAAUCAUUCGUAGAGUGUAAAGGCAGAAGGGAGCUUGACUGCGAGACCUACAAGUCGAGCAGGGACGAAAGUCGGGCUUAGUGAUCCGGUGGUACCGUAUGGAAGGGCCAUCGCUCAACGGAUAAAAGCUACCCUGGGGAUAACAGGCUUAUCUCCCCCAAGAGUUCACAUCGACGGGGAGGUUUGGCACCUCGAUGUCGGCUCAUCGCAUCCUGGGGCUGUAGUCGGUCCCAAGGGUUGGGCUGUUCGCCCAUUAAAGCGGUACGCGAGCUGGGUUCAGAACGUCGUGAGACAGUUCGGUCCCUAUCCGUCGCGGGCGUUGGAGAUUUGAGAAGAGCUAUCCUUAGUACGAGAGGACCGGGAUGGACACACCGCUGGUGUACCAGUUGUCAAGCCAUUGGCAUCGCUGGGUAGCUAUGUGUGGACAGGAUAAGCGCUGAAAGCAUCUAAGCGUGAAGCCCCCUUCAAGAUGAGAUCUCCCAUUCCUUUAAGGAAGUAAGACCCCUGAAAGAUUAUCAGGUAGAUAGGCUGGAAGUGGAAGCAUAGUGAUAUGUGGAGCGGACCAGUACUAAUCGGUCGAGGACUUAACCA
RNAcentral lists this ribosomal RNA (1789 nucleotides) under Alkalibacterium gilvum. RNAcentral describes it as "bacterial LSU rRNA". It matches the Rfam family "Bacterial large subunit ribosomal RNA", at positions 1126 to 2925 of the family's 2925-position model. Lineage: Bacteria; Bacillati; Bacillota; Bacilli; Lactobacillales; Carnobacteriaceae. The record is from RNAcentral.